UAGGCGUAAAUGAUGCGAGUUAAGUGUGGGGGCAUCUACGAGAUGGCCCUGUGCUGUAGGGUAGCCGUUAAACUCGCUGCCUGGGGAGUACGGUCGCAAGGCUGAAACUUAAAGGAAUUGGCGGGGGAGCACAACAACGGGUGGAGCUUGCGGUUUAAUUGGAUUCAACGCCGGAAAUCUUAUCGGGACCGACAGCAACAUGAAGGUCAAGCUGAAGACUUUGCCGGAUUAGCUGAGAGGAGGUGCAUGGCGUAGUCGUGU
RNAcentral lists this ribosomal RNA (261 nucleotides) under uncultured archaeon. Its description in RNAcentral is "partial 16S ribosomal RNA". It matches the Rfam family "Archaeal small subunit ribosomal RNA", at positions 748 to 1009 of the family's 1478-position model. The record is from RNAcentral.